CAGUCGCCGCGGGAAUACGAAGGGUGCAAGCGUUACUCGGAAUUACUGGGCGUAAAGCGUGCGUAGGUGGUGGUUUAAGUCCGUUGUGAAAGCCCUGGGCUCAACCUGGGAAUUGCAGUGGAUACUGGGUCACUAGAGUGUGGUAGAGGAUAGUGGAAUUUCCGGUGUAGCAGUGAAAUGCGUAGAGAUCGGAAGGAACAUCUGUGGCGAAGGCGACUAUCUGGGCCAUUACUGACACUGAGGCACGAAAGCGUGGGGAGCAAACAGGAUUAGAUACCCGAGUAGUCCCUGUCUCUUAUAC
RNAcentral lists this ribosomal RNA (301 nucleotides) under uncultured bacterium. RNAcentral describes it as "partial 16S ribosomal RNA". It matches the Rfam family "Bacterial small subunit ribosomal RNA", at positions 509 to 807 of the family's 1533-position model. The record is from RNAcentral.